Mycena leptocephala is the source of this 94-nucleotide non-coding RNA. The record is from the annotation of a GenBank genome assembly. NCBI's taxonomy places the organism in Eukaryota, Fungi, Basidiomycota, Agaricomycetes, Agaricales, Mycenaceae.
GCGCCCUUGGUGUAGUGGUAACACGCAAUCUACUUCUGGGUAAAACAGUUUCAAGUUUAGGAUUGGGUCCGGGGUUCGACUCCCCGAGGGUGCA